AUUGAACGCUGGCGGAAUGCUUUACACAUGCAAGUCGAACGGCAGCACGGGAGCAAUCCUGGUGGCGAGUGGCGAACGGGUGAGUAAUAUAUCGGAACGUGCCCAAUCGUGGGGAUAACGUAGCGAAAGCUACGCUAAUACCGCAUACGAUCUAUGGAUGAAAGCGGGGGAUCGCAAGACCUCGCGCGAUUGGAGCGGCCGAUAUCAGAUUAGGUAGUUGGUGAGGUAAAGGCUCACCAAGCCGACGAUCUGUAGCUGGUCUGAGAGGACGACCAGCCACACUGGGACUGAGACACGGCCCAGACUCCUACGGGAGGCAGCAGUGGGGAAUUUUUGGACAAUGGGCGCAAGCCUGAUCCAGCAAUGCCGCGUGCAGGAUGAAGGCCUCGG
RNAcentral lists this ribosomal RNA (390 nucleotides) under uncultured bacterium. Its description in RNAcentral is "bacterial SSU rRNA". It matches the Rfam family "Bacterial small subunit ribosomal RNA", at positions 30 to 420 of the family's 1533-position model. The record is from RNAcentral.